Molecule: ribosomal RNA, 634 nt
Filed under: Salmonella enterica
Lineage: Bacteria; Pseudomonadati; Pseudomonadota; Gammaproteobacteria; Enterobacterales; Enterobacteriaceae
Description: partial 23S ribosomal RNA
Rfam family: Bacterial large subunit ribosomal RNA
Source: RNAcentral
GGGUUGUGAGGUUAAGCGACUAAGCGUACACGGUGGAUGCCCUGGCAGUCAGAGGCGAUGAAGGGCGUGCUAAUCUGCGAUAAGCGCCGGUAAGGUGAUAUGAACCGUUAUAACCGGCGAUACCCGAAUGGGGAAACCCAGUGUGAUUCGUCACACUAUCAUUAACUGAAUCCAUAGGUUAAUGAGGCGAACCGGGGGAACUGAAACAUCUAAGUACCCCGAGGAAAAGAAAUCAACCGAGAUUCCCCCAGUAGCGGCGAGCGAACGGGGAGGAGCCCAGAGCCUGAAUCAGCAUGUGUGUUAGUGGAAGCGUCUGGAAAGGCGCGCGAUACAGGGUGACAGCCCCGUACACAAAAGCGCAUAUGCUGUGAGCUCGAUGAGUAGGGCGGGACACGUGGUAUCCUGUCUGAAUAUGGGGGGACCAUCCUCCAAGGCUAAAUACUCCUGACUGACCGAUAGUGAACCAGUACCGUGAGGGAAAGGCGAAAAGAACCCCGGCGAGGGGAGUGAAAAAGAACCUGAAACCGUGUACGUACAAGCAGUGGGAGCACCCUUUGGGGUGUGACUGCGUACCUUUUGUAUAAUGGGUCAGCGACUUAUAUUCUGUAGCAAGGUUAACCGUAUAGGGGAGCCG